Molecule: ribosomal RNA, 252 nt
Filed under: uncultured bacterium
Lineage: Bacteria
Description: partial 16S ribosomal RNA
Rfam family: Bacterial small subunit ribosomal RNA
Source: RNAcentral
UACGGAGGGUGCAAGCGUUAUCCGGAUUCACUGGGUUUAAAGGGUGCGUAGGUGGGCAGGUAAGUCAGUGGUGAAAUCUCCGGGCUUAACCCGGAACUGCCGUUGAUACUAUCUGUCUUGAAUAUAGUGGAGGUGAGCGGAAUAUGUCAUGUAGCGGUGAAAUGCUUAGAUAUGACAUAGAACAUCGAUUGCGAAGGCAGCUCGCUACGCUAUUAUUGACACUGAGGCACGAAAGCGGGGGGAUCAAACAGG